This 74-nucleotide transfer RNA is filed under the name Thermoguttaceae bacterium. RNAcentral describes it as "tRNA-Val". It matches the Rfam family "tRNA". Rfam says of the family: Transfer RNA (tRNA) molecules are approximately 80 nucleotides in length. Lineage: Bacteria; Pseudomonadati; Planctomycetota; Planctomycetia; Pirellulales; Thermoguttaceae. The record is from RNAcentral.
GGGCGAUUAGCUCAGCUGGUUAGAGCGCGGCUUUCACACGGCCGAGGUCACUGGUUCGAGUCCAGCAUCGCCCA